CUUGCUAUCCAGAGAGCGGCGUACGGGUGCGUAACACGUGUGCAACCUGCCUUUAUCUGGGGGAUAGCCUUUCGAAAGGAAGAUUAAUACCCCAUAAUAUGGUGUCCGGCAUCGGUCGCCAUUGAAAGCCUCGGCGGAUAGAGAUGGGCACGCGCAAGAUUAGAUAGUUGGCGGGGUAACGGCCCACCAAGUCGAUGAUCUUUAGGGGUCCUGAGAGGGAGAUCCCCCACACUGGUACUGAGGCACGGACCAGACUCCUACGGGAGGCAGCAGUGAGGAAUAUUGGACAAUGGGUGGAAGCCUGAUCCAGCCAUCCCGCGUGAAGGAUGACGGUCCUAUGGAUUGUAAACUUCUUUUGUACAGGGAUAAACCUGCCCUCGUGAGGGCAGCUGAAGGUACUGUACGAAUAAGCACCGGCUAACUCCGUGCCAGCAGCCGCGGUAAUACGGAGGGUGCGAGCGUUAUCCGGAUUUAUUGGGUUUAAAGGGUCCGUAGGCGGGCCUGUAAGUCAGUGGUGAAAUCUCAUAGCUUAACUAUGAAACUGCCAUUGAUACUGCAGGCCUUGAGUAAAUUUGAAGUGGCUGGAAUAAGUAGUGUAGCGGUGAAAUGCAUAGAUAUUACUUAGAACACCGAUUGCGAAGGCAGGUCACUAAGAUUUAACUGACGCUGAUGGACGAAAGCGUGGGGAGCGAACAGGAUUAGAUACCCUGGUAGUCCACGCCGUAAACGAUGCUAACUCGUUUUUGGAUCUUCGGGUUCAGAGACCAAGCGAAAGUGAUAAGUUAGCCACCUGGGGAGUACGUCCGCAAGGAUGAAACUCAAAGGAAUUGACGGGGGCCCGCACAAGCGGUGGAUUACGUGGUUUAAUUCGAUGAUACGCGAGGAACCUUACCAAGACUUAAAUGGGAAUUGACAGAUUUAGAAAUAGAUCCUCCUUCGGGCAAUUUUCAAGGUGCUGCAUGGUUGUCGUCAGCUCGUGCCGUGAGGUGUUAGGUUAAGUCCUGCAACGAGCGCAACCCCUGCCAACAGUUGCCAUCAUUCAGUUGGGGACUCUGUUGGGACUGCCUACGCAAGUAGAGAGGAAGGUGGGGAUGACGUCAAAUCAUCACGGCCCUUACGUCUUGGGCCACACACGUAAUACAAUGGCCGGUACAGAGGGCAGCUACCUGGUGACAGGAUGCGAAUCUCGAAAGCCGGUCUCAGUUCGGAUUGGAGUCUGCAACUCGACUCUAUGAAGCUGGAAUCGCUAGUAAUCGCGCAUCAGCCAUGGCGCGGUGAAUACGUUCCCGGGCC
Molecule: ribosomal RNA, 1293 nt
Filed under: uncultured Bacteroidota bacterium
Lineage: Bacteria; Pseudomonadati; Bacteroidota
Description: bacterial SSU rRNA
Rfam family: Bacterial small subunit ribosomal RNA
Source: RNAcentral